GUUAGAGUCCCUAAGUUGCUUGAAAUUGUGCCACAAAUGGUAGAAUUCAAUUGGAGUCUCUAAGUUGAUGUUUUGAAGGUUUUUGGGUUGAUAUCUUGUAGUCACUUGUUUAGAAUGAGUUUAGACACACUUGGUUUAGUAUAAUUAAGUAUAUAACACACUCUAGGAGGAUUAGAAGUUGGGGAAAAUAUUUACAUUUGGUAAAUUUGGUGAAGGUUGCAUAAUUAUGUAGUUUGGUGCUGCAGAAUUAUGCAGACUCCCUAGGCGAGUAGAGUCACUCAACAAGUGGCUGUAAGGUCUAACACACUGUAUAUGCAUUCUCCUAGUGAGUCGGGUCGAUGGGCGAGUGGUUGAAGGGUUUGGGCCAUAGUUUCAGGAUUCGCCUAGCGAGUUAGGUUGCUGAGCGAGUAAGUUGGGGGUCUGGACCACUGUCUCAAGUCUCUCUUAGGGAGCUGGGUCGCUAAGCGAGAGGUUGAGGUCUGGGGAACACUGUUUGUGUAUUCGCACAACAAGUUGGGUCACUGAGCGAAAGGAUUAUGUGGUCGCCCAACGAGUGUGGUCGCUGAGCGAUUGAUCUAGGAGCUCAGUCUUGAGGGUUAUCCUUGAACUCCAAUAGUCUGUCAUUCUCAAAGUCGUGAGGAGUAGCAGGAGGUCUUAGUAUUGGGGGCUUCCAACAUGGUUCAAGGCGUGGAACAGACUAACCUUGUGAGUGUGGUAUGGUGAAACCCAUUGGUAAUGACUUUGCAAAGUAGUAGAAGCCACCGCAAGUGCACAACCUGCCAUAGCUCGACAAUCAUUCUAAGUUCGGACGGUCAAAUCAUUGUAGUGUCAUGCAUAAAGUAUCCUAUGUUGGUGAAUGACUAUGUAUGAUUGUAUGUAAUGUAGUUGAUGAGUAUAAUGAUUGUUCUUUUACUUUAAACUAGCUUACCUUGUUGCUUGUGCUUGUGUUUUGUAUGUGUAGUGUUCUUUUUUUGUGAUGAUCAUCUUGUGGG
This 992-nucleotide small RNA is filed under the name Vigna angularis var. angularis. RNAcentral describes it as "Non-protein coding transcript". Lineage: Eukaryota; Viridiplantae; Streptophyta; Magnoliopsida; Fabales; Fabaceae. The record is from RNAcentral.